UGCAGUCGACGAUGAACCACUUCGGUGGGGAUUAGUGGCGAACGGGUGAGUAACACGUGGGCAAUCUGCCCUGCACUCUGGGACAAGCCCUGGAAACGGGGUCUAAUACCGGAUACUGAUCCUCGCAGGCAUCUGCGAGGUUCGAAAGCUCCGGCGGUGCAGGAUGAGCCCGCGGCCUAUCAGCUAGUUGGUGAGGUAACGGCUCACCAAGGCGACGACGGGUAGCCGGCCUGAGAGGGCGACCGGCCACACUGGGACUGAGACACGGCCCAGACUCCUACGGGAGGCAGCAGUGGGGAAUAUUGCACAAUGGGCGAAAGCCUGAUGCAGCGACUCCGCGUGAGGGAUGACGGCCUUCGGGUUGUAAACCUCUUUC
Molecule: ribosomal RNA, 376 nt
Filed under: Streptomyces sp. DES11
Lineage: Bacteria; Bacillati; Actinomycetota; Actinomycetes; Kitasatosporales; Streptomycetaceae
Description: bacterial SSU rRNA
Rfam family: Bacterial small subunit ribosomal RNA
Source: RNAcentral